UCCCAAUGGAUCAUUAGUCUUAUGUAGUAGAGGCUUUGUCAGAUUAGCGUGCCAGUAUGUAUAGGAUCUUAGAUUUUGGUUGUACAGGAUAGUAUCAUUUUGUAUCUAAUCAUGGUCAUGACAUGCUUAUUUCUCUUUAUCUUAGAAUGAUUUGUGUUACAGUGAGUUCUGAAAGUGAUGACAGGCUUAGAGGGUUAACUUGAGGCCACGUGUGACCUUAAGCACCGUGUGACAUCUCGG
RNAcentral lists this long non-coding RNA (240 nucleotides) under Capsicum annuum. RNAcentral's name for it is "long non-coding RNA (CANN_LNC002714)". Lineage: Eukaryota; Viridiplantae; Streptophyta; Magnoliopsida; Solanales; Solanaceae. The record is from RNAcentral.